UGUAUCGCUUCUGAAAAUCCCUGUCUCUUUUUUACAGCCAAGUGUGAAGGCCUGAACUACUGUUACCAGACUGGCCAAACAAACAAACAAAAAAAAAAAAAAGAUAAAAGAAAACAAAACAUGCUUUGUUUAGUGUCCACCUCUUUCCUUUGUACUUCCGUCUUUGCAGUCCCACUUUCACCUCUUCCUCUUCUUUCUUACAAUUCGUCGGUCUCCAAGUUUCUUACUUUCUUGCAAAAAUCUCACUGUGUUAUUCCCUCAAAUCUUCAUUUUCUUGAUUUUUUAACUACCCUCUAUCUAAAUCUACCCUUUCCUUUAUCCCUUCCCAUAAAAAGAUUGUAAAAGCAAGGAUCUUUGUAUAACUCAGCUCUAGUUUCUUCACUGACUCUUUACAUUUCUUUGUCAGAAUUUUUUGUUUUAGCUUCAAAUUCACACUUCUUGCUUUCCACUUUUUAAAGAAAGAGCUAAACCUUGCUCAAAUUUCAUUAAUUUUCAUUUAUGUUUAAUCUUGUUUUCCUGCAUCAAGUCUCAGAUUUUCUUGUGCUAAAUCUUUUUAGACAUAGUUGUUUGAUCAAAUUCUAAAAUUUUAGCUCAAAGUUUCAAUUUUUUUUUGAAACAAGAAACCAUGGAUUUUGUAGUUCAACGUUUGUUGAUUCUCCUAACAUUAAUUGUUCUUGUUCAUGUUCAAACCCUCCAUGCCUUGGAUUCCACCACAACAAGACCCAUGAAUUGUACGGACACAACGAGAUUGUGCACAUCUUUUUUGGCUUUUAAGCCGCAAGACAACCAAACUCUAGCAGUGAUCCAGAGCAUGUUUGAUGUGUUACCACAGGACAUAACAGUUGAGGAAGAGAAUGGUCAUGGCUACAUGUUCAUAAAAAAGAAUUGUUCUUGCUUAUCAACUACCAAGAAUUAUGUAACAAAUACAACUUUUACGGUGAGAUCAAAUGAAGGGUAUGUUUAUGACAUGAUUUUGGAGGCUUAUGAUGGGCUUGCAAUGGUUCCAAAUAUUACCAGGCAGGCGAGGGUUGGAGCUGUGGUUUCUUUGAGGCUGUUUUGUGGGUGUUCAAGUGGCUUGUGGAACUACUUGAUGAGUUAUCUGAUGAAAGAUGGGGAUAGUGUGCAAUCUUUAGCAAGUAGAUUUGGGGUUAGCAUGGAUAGUAUUGAGGAAGUCAAUGGGAUUGUAAAUCCUGAUAAUAUCACUGUUGGUGCUCUGUACUAUAUUCCAUUAAAUUCAGUUCCUGGUGAGCGAUAUCAUGUGGAGAAGGAGAUUCCCCCUGCACCUGUUCCUGCACCAUCUGCUGACACAAAUUCAGAAAUUCAAGUAAAUCAUAAGUCUCAUGUGCCAUAUGGAUGGAUCAUUGGGGGUUUUGGUGUUGGGCUUGCCCUCAUUAUAGCAAGCAUAGUUGUUUGUAUUUCCUUGAGGUCCUCAAGCUGCUUUGCUGAAGCUCGAGGAAGUCUUGUGAAAGACCCUGAUGGCAAGAGUUCUCAUAAGUUUCACAUUCUUCGGAAGCCAAAUUUCUGUUGUGGUUCAGGAAGAUACGUUUGUGGCAAGUCAGGGAAUUGGAACCAAAAUAAUGGUGAACCUAGUAACCACCAGAUUACUAUUCCGAAAGCUCUAGGAACUGAUGUACUUGAUGUUGAGAAGCCUGUGGUUUUCACUUAUGAAGAGAUUCUUUUUUCAACUGAUGGGUUCUCAGAUUCUAAUCUUCUUGGUCAUGGAACCUAUGGUUCUGUGUAUUUUGCUCUCCUUCGUGAUCAGGAAGUUGCUAUCAAAAGAAUGACUGCCACAAAGACAAAGGAAUUUAUGGCAGAGAUGAAAGUCUUGUGUAAGGUUCAUCAUGCAAAUCUGGUAGAGUUGAUUGGCUAUGCUGCAAGUGAUAAUGAGCUCUUCCUUAUUUAUGAACAUGCUCAAAAGGGCUCCCUUAGAAGCCAUUUACAUGAUCCACAGAACAAAGGUCAUACACCACUUUCUUGGAUAAUGAGGGUUCAGAUUGCACUUGAUGCUGCUAGAGGCCUGGAGUACAUCCAUGAGCAUACUAAAACUCAUUAUGUUCAUCGGGAUAUCAAGUCGAGCAACAUAUUGCUUGAUGUUUCUUUCAGGGCAAAGAUUUCAGAUUUUGGGUUGUCAAAGCUUGUUGGGAAAACAAAUGAUGAAGAAGCAACGGCAACAAAAGUUGUUGGUACAUUUGGUUAUUUGGCACCAGAAUAUUUGAGUGAUGGACUUGCCUCAUCAAAAAGUGAUGUGUAUGCAUUUGGUGUUGUUCUGUUUGAGAUUAUAUCUGGAAAGGAGGCCAUCAUACGAACUGAAGGCACCACAAUGAAAAAUACUGAAAGACGUUCAUUGGCAUCUAUUAUGUUAGCAGCUCUUCGGAACACACCCGAUUCAAUGAGCAUGUCAAACAUGAAAGAUUAUGUUGAUCCAAAUAUGUUGGAUCUAUAUCCCCAUGAUUGUGUCUUCAAGAUGGCUAUGCUGGCAAAGCAAUGCGUUGACGAGGAUCCUAUUGUACGCCCUGACAUGAAACAAAUUGUGAUUAACUUGUCACAGAUCCUUUUGUCCUCUGUGGAGUGGGAAGCAACUCUUGCUGGGAACAGCCAAGUAUUUAGUGGUUUGGUCCAAGGAAGAUAGUUAUGGAGCAGUCAACCUAUUCCUCUCUAGUAUACUUUAUUUUUCUAUUGCCCCACUUUGUGCCCCCUUUCAUAUGGUUAUGUGUGCAGAGUAGCAAUGAUGUUCCAGAAAAGCAGUAAUAUGGUAAGGUAAUUGGGAGGAAAUCAAUGUGGGCUGUGACUUUGGAUUGCAUAAAAUGGGUUAAAAGGAUUCUGAUGGGCCGUAAAGUUUUCUUUAACCCGACCCAUCAUCCCUCAUGUCUCAACAUUCGGAUCCCGAGUAAAUAAAAGAAAGCCUGCCUUGCAGGGAGCCCCACCAGAAAUUUAAAAACCAAACGGCUAGAGGAAGACACAAAGAAAGAAGAAAACUGAGAGAAAAAAGGGAAAGGAUGCGGAGAACAGAAUCGAAGGCGAAAUCGUUAAGGAGACCGCUGAGAGACAACGGCAAUAAUCUAAACCACGCCUCCUUCUCCUUCAAUUCGAUAUUUAUUCUCUCCUCCGCCAGAAGUGACAUGGAUUGUCAUGUUCUAUAAUUGCGGCCGUUGUUUCCCAGAUUUAAGAUGGCGCUUUCAAGUCCUUCUGGGGAGUGCCUAGAUCAGUCUGGAUAAUUUUUGGAAUGUGAAACUGUUCCUUUUGUGAAUGUAAAUGAAAAAGAAUGCUUUGACGUUGGGAGUCCAGAAGAAACCACGUUGGACUCGAUAAUCUCUCCUUUUUCUCGUGUCAUGGCUUGCUGCUGACUGUAAUGUUGAGAGAGGUAGACAGCUGUUUCUGCUCACACCUCUUCCUAUGUCGAAGUCACUGUCUUCCAACAGGCGUGAUUUGUCUAAAUCAGUAUUCAAAAGGAUUGCUUCCAAAUCUAUUGUUGAGCUGCCAUCUUUCUCAACAAGGGAUGAAAACCAUGAUUUGCUUGAAGGUGCUGCAAAGCUAACUCCAAUUAAGCCUGCCGAUUCUGUUGUGGCUGAAACAGAUAAUACAUUGAAGUGUGGGUUUGUUUCUUCACCAGUGUUUUCGAGAAGAGACCAUUCCAUGCUUAAAAAUGUCGCCUCCUAAAUCUUGUGUGUUGCUCGAACCGAUUCAUGAGUCCUCACGUAGAGGCGAUUAUGGAAUGCGCAAGUCUACCCCGGUUUCCUGUUGGAUUUAACAACAGUGGUUUUUCUGAAUCCUCUGGAAGUGAAGCUUCUGAGGAUCUGACUUUGAAGUAUCCAGAGAACUACUAGGCAUACAACGAACUUACAUAUCAGGAAUUGGGAAGAGAGAGCUGGAGUCAGACCAUCACAUAUCACCUUGCCAAAAGUGGUUAAAAUAAAUGACUUUGA
Molecule: non-coding RNA, 3923 nt
Organism: Durio zibethinus
Lineage: Eukaryota; Viridiplantae; Streptophyta; Magnoliopsida; Malvales; Malvaceae
Source: RefSeq, a predicted model, not a curated record